RNAcentral lists this ribosomal RNA (245 nucleotides) under uncultured bacterium. Its description in RNAcentral is "partial 16S ribosomal RNA". It matches the Rfam family "Bacterial small subunit ribosomal RNA", at positions 524 to 768 of the family's 1533-position model. The record is from RNAcentral.
GACAGAGGUGGCAAGCGUUGUUCGGAAUCACUGGGCUUAAAGCGUGUGUAGGCGGUUCGUCAAGUGCCUUGUGAAAUCCCCCGGCUCAACCGGGGAAUUGCUUGGUAGACUGACGAACUUGAGGCAGGUAGGGGCGAGUGGAACUCAUGGUGGAGCGGUGGAAUGCGUAGAUAUCAUGAGGAACGCCGGAGGUGAAAACGACUCGCUGGGCCUGUCCUGACGCUGAGACACGAAAGCCAGGGGAG